This 930-nucleotide ribosomal RNA is filed under the name uncultured Bacillota bacterium. RNAcentral describes it as "bacterial SSU rRNA". It matches the Rfam family "Bacterial small subunit ribosomal RNA", at positions 1 to 916 of the family's 1533-position model. Lineage: Bacteria; Bacillati; Bacillota. The record is from RNAcentral.
GGAUCCAGACUUUGAUUAUGGCUCAGGAUGAACGCUGGCGGCGCAUUUAAGACAUGCAAGUCGAACAAAAAUUUACGCUUAAAGAGUUGAUUAGUUUACUAAGAGAUGAUUUAUUGUAAAUUUUAGUGGCGGACUGGUGAGUAAUACAUAGGUAAUCUGCCUUUUAGAGGGGAAUAACUAGGAGAAAUCCUAGCUAAUACCGCGUAAGACCACACUUAGGCAUCUAAGAGAGGUCAAAGGAGUAAUCCGCUAAAAGAUGAGCCUGUGGCUGAUUAGUUAGUUGGUGGGGUAAGAGCCUACCAAGACGAUGAUCAGUAGCCGAGCUGAGAGGCUGGCCGGCCACAUUGGGACUGAGAUACGGCCCAGACUCCUACGGGAGGCAGCAGUUGGGAAUAUUGGACAAUGGAGGAAACUCUGAUCCAGUGACGCCGCGUGAAGGAAGAAGGUCUUCGGAUUGUAAACUUAUUUUAUCAGGGAAGAAGAAAGUGACAGUACCUGAAGAAAAAGGACCGGCAAACUACGUGCCAGCAGCCGCGGUAAUACGUAGGGUCCAAGCGUUAUCCGGAUUUACUGGGUGUAAAGGGCGAGUAGACGGCGCUGUAAGUCAGCUGUGAAAACUUAGGGCUCAACCUUAAGCCUGCAGCUGAAACUGUAGUGCUAGAGUGCAGGAGAGGUAAGCGGAAUUCCUAGUGUAGCGGUGAAAUGCGUAGAUAUUAGGAGGAACACCAGUGGCGAAGGCGGCUUACUGGACUGUAACUGACGUUGAGGCGCGAAAGUGUGGGGAGCAAACAGGAUUAGAUACCCUGGUAGUCCACACCGUAAACGAUGGAUACUAGGUGUAGGCGAGAUAUCGUCUGUGCCGGCGCAAACGCAAUAAGUAUCCCACCUGGGGAGUACGGCCGCAAGGUUGCAACUCAAAUGAAUUGACGG